Molecule: long non-coding RNA, 221 nt
Filed under: Vigna radiata
Lineage: Eukaryota; Viridiplantae; Streptophyta; Magnoliopsida; Fabales; Fabaceae
Description: long non-coding RNA (VRAD_LNC003553)
Source: RNAcentral
GGCUGGUGAAUGUGAAAUUGUUUCUCUUUCUUGUGAAAAUCUGAGACGGAUGUGAAGUAUUUUCUGGUUAAGGAUAGUGAGGCUUUUGUCGGUAAUAUUCAAACAAAAUACCUCCAAGAAACGUUUAAUUCAUGACUGAGUUAUAUUAUUUUAAAUUUUAAAGAUCGAUGACUAGAGCUUUUAGAAAUCUUGCACCCAUUAUUAACAUGUGAACAAUUCCC